This 154-nucleotide non-coding RNA is filed under the name uncultured Sporolactobacillus sp. Its description in RNAcentral is "glmS glucosamine-6-phosphate activated ribozyme". It matches the Rfam family "glmS glucosamine-6-phosphate activated ribozyme aptamer". Rfam says of the family: This entry contains a glucosamine-6-phosphate activated ribozyme that is found in the mRNA for GlmS. GlmS is an enzyme that uses fructose-6-phosphate and glutamine to generate glucosamine-6-phosphate. The record is from RNAcentral. Lineage: Bacteria; Bacillati; Bacillota; Bacilli; Caryophanales; Sporolactobacillaceae.
AAUAGAAAGCGCCCGGACUAUUCCCGUGGCGGAGAAAGAUGGGGAUAGUUGACGAGGAAGAGGUUGAUCGAACCAUUCGGCGGAUGCCUCUCGGAUCGCCUGCACCGUUAGUCCGUGUACAAAACAGGAAGGCAACUUCCUGAACAGAAUCCGG